This 258-nucleotide ribosomal RNA is filed under the name uncultured bacterium. Its description in RNAcentral is "partial 16S ribosomal RNA". It matches the Rfam family "Bacterial small subunit ribosomal RNA", at positions 524 to 776 of the family's 1533-position model. The record is from RNAcentral.
UACGUAGGGCGCAAGCGUUUAUCCGGAAUUAUUGGGCGUAAAGAGCUCGUAGGCGGUUUGUCGCGUCUGCCGUGAAAGUCCGGGGGCUCAACUCCGGAUCUGCGGUGGGUACGGGCAGACUAGAGUGAUGUAGGGGGAGACUGGAAUUCCUGGUGUAGCGGUGAAAUGCGCAGAUAUCAGGAGGAACACCGAUGGCGAAGGCAGGUCUCUGGGCAUUAACUGACGCUGAGGAGCGAAAAGCAUGGGGGAGCGAACAGG